UGGGGAAUAUUGGACAAUGGGCGCAAGCCUGAUCCAGCCAUGCCGCGUGUGUGAAGAAGGCCUUUUGGUUGUAAAGCACUUUAAGCGAGGAGGAGGCUACUUGGAUUAAUACUCUAGGAUAGUGGACGUUACUCGCAGAAUAAGCACCGGCUAACUCUGUGCCAGCAGCCGCGGUAAUACAGAGGGUGCGAGCGUUAAUCGGAUUUACUGGGCGUAAAGCGUGCGUAGGCGGCUUCUUAAGUCGGAUGUGAAAUCCCUGAGCUUAACUUAGGAAUUGCAUUCGAUACUGGGAAGCUAGAGUAUGGGAGAUGAUGGUAGAAUUCCAGGUGUAGCGGUGAAAUGCGUAGAGAUCUGGAGGAAUACCGAUGGCGAAGGCAGCCAUCUGGCCUAAUACUGACGCUGAGGUACGAAAGCAUGGGGAGCAAACAGG
This 430-nucleotide ribosomal RNA is filed under the name bacterium. RNAcentral's name for it is "partial 16S ribosomal RNA". It matches the Rfam family "Bacterial small subunit ribosomal RNA", at positions 355 to 776 of the family's 1533-position model. The record is from RNAcentral.